UAAUACGAACUGUGCGAACGUUAUUCGGAAUCACUGGGCUUAAAGGGUGCGUAGGCGGCGGCACAAGUCAGGUGUGAAAUCCCCCGGCUCAACCGGGGAACAGCGCUUGAAACUAGGUCGCUCGAGUGAGGCAGGGGUGUAUGGAACUUCCGGUGGAGCGGUGAAAUGUGUAGAGAUCGGAAGGAACGCCGGCGGCGAAAGCGGUACACUGGGCCUUGUCUGACGCUGAGGCACGAAAGCUAGGGGAGUGAACGGGAUUAGAUACCCCGGUAAUCCUAGCCGUAAACACUGAGCACUGGAGGAGAGGGGCUUCGGCCUUUCUCCUCGCAGCGAAAGCGUUAAGUGCUCCGCCUGGGGAGUAUGGUCGCAAGGCUG
Molecule: ribosomal RNA, 375 nt
Filed under: uncultured bacterium
Lineage: Bacteria
Description: bacterial SSU rRNA
Rfam family: Bacterial small subunit ribosomal RNA
Source: RNAcentral